This 85-nucleotide transfer RNA is filed under the name Felis catus (domestic cat). It matches the Rfam family "tRNA". From Rfam's summary of the family: Transfer RNA (tRNA) molecules are approximately 80 nucleotides in length. Their secondary structure includes four short double-helical elements and three loops (D, anti-codon, and T loops). RNAcentral also lists the same sequence under 5 other names. The record is from Rfam by way of RNAcentral. Lineage: Eukaryota; Metazoa; Chordata; Mammalia; Carnivora; Felidae.
GCCUGGGUGGCUCAGUCGGUUGAGUGUCCGACUUCGGUUCAGGUCAUGAUCUCACGGUUCGUGGGUUCGAGCCCCGCAUCGGGCU